Molecule: ribosomal RNA, 856 nt
Filed under: uncultured bacterium
Lineage: Bacteria
Description: bacterial SSU rRNA
Rfam family: Bacterial small subunit ribosomal RNA
Source: RNAcentral
CAGUCGAGGGGUAUAGUUCUUCGGAAUUAGAGACCGGCGCACGGGUGCGUAACGCGUAUGCAAUCUACCUUUCACAGAGGGAUAGCCCAGAGAAAUUUGGAUUAAUACCUCAUAGUAUAGUGAUACCGCAUGGUAGUACUAUUAAAGUCACAACGGUGAAAGAUGAGCAUGCGCCCCAUUAGCUUGUUGGUAAGGUAACGGCUUACCAAGGCUACGAUGGGUAGGGGUCCUGAGAGGGAGAUCCCCCACACUGGUACUGAGACACGGACCAGACUCCUACGGGAGGCAGCAGUGAGGAAUAUUGGACAAUGGGCGCAAGCCUGAUCCAGCCAUGCCGCGUGCAGGAUGACGGUCCUAUGGAUUGUAAACUGCUUUUGCACAGGAAGAAACAACUCUACGUGUAGAGUCUUGACGGUACUGUGAGAAUAAGGAUCGGCUAACUCCGUGCCAGCAGCCGCGGUAAUACGGAGGAUCCAAGCGUUAUCCGGAAUCAUUGGGUUUAAAGGGUCCGUAGGCGGUUUGGUAAGUCAGUGGUGAAAGCCCAUCGCUCAACGGUGGAACGGCCAUUGAUACUGCCAGACUUGAAUUAUUAGGAAGUAACUAGAAUAUGUAGUGUAGCGGUGAAAUGCUUAGAGAUUACAUGGAAUACCAAUUGCGAAGGCAGGUUACUACUAAUGGAUUGACGCUGAUGGACGAAAGCGUGGGUAGCGAACAGGAUUAGAUACCCUGGUAGUCCACGCCGUANACGAUGGAUACUAGCUGUUGGGAGCGAUCUCAGUGGCUAAGCGAAAGUGAUAAGUAUCCCACCUGGGGAGUACGUUCGCAAGAAUGAAAACUCAAGGAAUUGACGGGGGGC